RNAcentral lists this ribosomal RNA (253 nucleotides) under uncultured bacterium. Its description in RNAcentral is "partial 16S ribosomal RNA". It matches the Rfam family "Bacterial small subunit ribosomal RNA", at positions 524 to 776 of the family's 1533-position model. The record is from RNAcentral.
UACGAAGGGGGCUAGCGUUGCUCGGAAUCACUGGGCGUAAAGAGCUCGUAGGCGGCUCGGUAAGUCAGGUGUCAAGUCCUCAGGCUCAACCUGGGGCUCCACCUGAUACUGCUGUGGCUAGAGUCCGGUAGGGGAGCGUGGAAUUCCUGGUGUAGCGGUGAAAUGCGCAGAUAUCAGGAGGAACACCAGCGGCGAAGGCGGCGCUCUGGGCCGGAACUGACGCUGAGGAGCGAAAGCGUGGGUAGCAAACAGG